RNAcentral lists this transfer RNA (68 nucleotides) under Lepidophyma smithii (Smith's tropical night lizard). RNAcentral describes it as "tRNA-His". It matches the Rfam family "tRNA". From Rfam's summary of the family: Transfer RNA (tRNA) molecules are approximately 80 nucleotides in length. Their secondary structure includes four short double-helical elements and three loops (D, anti-codon, and T loops). Lineage: Eukaryota; Metazoa; Chordata; Lepidosauria; Squamata; Xantusiidae. The record is from RNAcentral.
GUUUUUAUAGUUUAAAAAAAACAUUAGAUUGUGAGUCUAACAACGGGGACCCAAGCCCCCUAAAAACC